UGUAACGCAACUUACGUCACGCGUGCGUUUACGUAGACCAUGCGUGUCUCAAGCGAAGGAUGAACGGAGGUUAACUUAAUAAAGGAGGAUAAGAGCAAUAAAUGAUGGACGCGCAGAUAGAUUUGCAUGGACCGCUUGGUGUAGAACCGACAGCUUCUAUAUCAGAGAACUUGGACCUGCAUCGUAGACGCAGGCCUUGACAUUGGAGAGCCUACGUUUCCUGCAACUGUACACUUUAACAGCACGUCAUGCGCGUCCCUCAGUCUUUCUUCCGCACCCGAUACACCCACGCAGCGGGCAAGGAUGUCGCACGAAAGCUCUAUAUUGGCUAAUUUAAGGAGAGCACAGGAGCGCAAACGGCUUCUAGAGGAAUUGCAGAUGCAGGAAAAACCUUGAUCCCGGUAUUGAGAGACCUCGUAUGAGUUUGUGUAUUUAUUUUUUUCUAUGUGAGAAAUAUAUAUAUAUAUAUAAUGAU
Long non-coding RNA from Vollenhovia emeryi, 475 nucleotides. RefSeq lists it as uncharacterized. The record is from RefSeq and is a predicted model, not a curated record. The transcript is spliced from 4 exons. NCBI's taxonomy places the organism in Eukaryota, Metazoa, Arthropoda, Insecta, Hymenoptera, Formicidae.